UCUAGAGAUGUGAUUAAUUGUCAUUUUAAAAAACUUACAAAGAUGUUAAGCUGCUUGUUACAGUGGGCUGUUCCUGAAGGGUUUACAUCACUUGGUUAGUGGAUCAGCGUGCCUCAGUGAACAGAGAAUUCAGGAGACUAGAAUUUCCAUCCUACUCUCACAAUAUCAUUGUGUAGGAACUGGAACAGUCACUUAGUAUUUUUUCUUUAAAUCUUUGUCUAUGAUAUAUUUCGUGUAAAAGUGAUUGGCUCAACAUUUGUCAUCCAUGGACCAUGACAGCUCCUUUGAGUUCCUGAUCUGGCCACCUAGAGGUGAACAAAGAUUCACUUUCCUGUAGAACAAAGAGAUUCGGAGGGAACAGGGGAAGACCUGGCAGAAAGAAGUUGGCAGAAAGCUGGAUUAACCACGGAGGAGGGAAAGCAGAGGAGACAGUUCCCUGUCCAUGCACAGUAUAUGUGGAUGUGGAGAAACGCAGGCUCCAGUCCUGGUCACUAGCCCGGUGAGGAAGCCUCUCUUCUCUGAGACGUGAGCCUCAAAGAGUGACAUGACAUUUCGGCAGCAGAUGACCUUAGGGCCUGAAAAUAGCAACUUUUCCUAGCUCAGAGGAGUACCCCACAGUUGAUUUUUUUUCCUGGUCCAGGGUGAUUUAGAAGAGAACCAAGAUGAUGCUGCUACCUUCAUAUGGAGGACUGGAGAGGACAUGAUAUACCAUAGGAAAUCCACUGCUGCUGGCCCUUAGAGAAGAAAUUGAAAAUGCGUGUGCAGCAAUCUGUGACCAUGGUUAUCCAAACUGCAGAAGUUUGCUAUGCUGAUAAAUGUCUGUAAGCAAAUGACCAUCACUUUGAGCACCACUUGUAAUUGUGGAGGGGGAAAGUUAUUAUUAUUAAUCUCCUGGUGUUUCAGUAAGUCUAAUAUUAAAAUAUUUAUACAAGUU
Cavia porcellus (domestic guinea pig) is the source of this 934-nucleotide long non-coding RNA. RefSeq lists it as uncharacterized. The transcript has 3 exons. Lineage: Eukaryota; Metazoa; Chordata; Mammalia; Rodentia; Caviidae. The record is from RefSeq and is a predicted model, not a curated record.